This 489-nucleotide ribosomal RNA is filed under the name uncultured bacterium. RNAcentral describes it as "partial 16S ribosomal RNA". It matches the Rfam family "Bacterial small subunit ribosomal RNA", at positions 28 to 507 of the family's 1533-position model. The record is from RNAcentral.
GAUGAACGCUAGCGGCAGGCUUAAUACAUGCAAGUUGAGGGGCAGCAGGACUGUAGCACUACAGUUGCUGGCGACCGGCAAACGGGUGCGGAACACGUACGCAACCUACCCAAAACUGGGGGAUAGCCCGGGGAAACCCGGAUUAAUACCUCGUAACCUUUUUAAGUGGCAUCACUUGAUAAGUAUAGCUCCGGCGGUUUUGGAUGGGCGUGCGCCUGAUUAGGUAGUUGGUGCGGGUAACGGCCCACCAAGCCUGCGAUCAGUAACUGGUGUGAGAGCACGACCAGUCACACGGGCACUGAGACACGGGCCCGACUCCUACGGGAGGCAGCAGUAAGGAAUAUUGGUCAAUGGACGCAAGUCUGAACCAGCCAUGCCGCGUGAAGGAUGAAGGUCCUCUGGAUUGUAAACUUCUUUUAUGGGGGACGAAACCCGGAUAUUCUUAUCCGAUUGACGGUACCUCAGGAAUAAGCACCGGCUAACUCCGUG